CGUGUAGGAAAUCCUGCCCUCCCCUUACCACCUCUUAGGACAGCUUUGGCCUCAGUUAGGGUCACUCUCGGGUCCUUAAGAACAUCGCACAGAAUCAGAUGGUACCAGGGAGUUAAUUCAGGGAAUUUUUAAAAAGUGACUUUUUCUGAAAAACAGAAGACACAGAUACCAUAUUGUUAAACAUUUUGUCUAAUGUCCCAAAAUGGGAGCCAAAAAGAAUAUAAAUGUACUUCCAAAAGAGCAAUAUGUACCACAGGAUGGCUGCUGAUGUACACUGGAAAAGAUGAAGCAAAGAAAACACUUGCAGAAGACCAUUAAAUCCAGUCCUAAGACAACAAAGUCAGUGUUCAAGAAAAAUAUUCCAUCAGCAAGAAUAAUUGGUUCCCUUAAUCUUCUAUGUAGAGUACAGCAGACAUAUGCAUUUUCCUGAGGCUUGGUAAAUGGCUCUGCCAAAAGUUCUUUCCACAUAUAUAAAUAUCAUCAAGAAGAUAAAUGCAAAAUGGUUAGUAUUGCUUGGAGUUAUAAGGAUGGUAGAGAAAAAAGAAACUUGGCAUCAGAGUCAUAUGAUCUGGGUUCACAUAUCCAAAGGGCCAUAAAACUACACAUACCCUUUGUCCCAACAAUAUCACUACUAGGUCUCUAUCCCAAAGAAAGCAGAGAUAAGAGAAAAGGACGUGCUUAUACAAAAUAUUUUUAGCAGUUCUUUUUGUAGUAACAAAGAAUUGGAAACUGAGGAGAUACCCAUCAAUUGGGGGAAUGGCUGAACAAGUCGUGGUGGUAUUUGGUUGUAAUGGAAAACUAUUGUGCUAUAAGAAAUGAUGAACAGGAUGACUUCAGAAAAAAAACUGGAAAGAUGUAUAUGAACUGAUGCAAAUUGAAGUGAACACAAGAAGAACAUUGUAUACAGUAACAGAAAUACUAGUCUGUGAUCAACUGUGAAGGACUUAACUAUUAUGAGAUAAGCAAGGUUCCAAGUUAAUCCCAAGGGAUUUAUAAUAACAAUAAAAAAAAGAAA
Monodelphis domestica (gray short-tailed opossum) is the source of this 1015-nucleotide long non-coding RNA. RefSeq lists it as uncharacterized. The record is from RefSeq and is a predicted model, not a curated record. Lineage: Eukaryota; Metazoa; Chordata; Mammalia; Didelphimorphia; Didelphidae.